This is a long non-coding RNA of Aedes aegypti (yellow fever mosquito), 930 nucleotides long. RefSeq lists it as uncharacterized. The record is from RefSeq and is a predicted model, not a curated record. The transcript is spliced from 2 exons. NCBI's taxonomy places the organism in Eukaryota, Metazoa, Arthropoda, Insecta, Diptera, Culicidae.
CCAAAAUUAACCAUUUCACCCUUAGAAGAGAGCGCGCAUUCCGGAGAAACGUCCUUUCUUCCAUUCUUGCCAAAGUAGUUCUGAAUUUGGUUGGUUUAAACAAAAAGAUUAAUAAGAAAAUAAAUUCUCUAUAAUUCUGGUGAAUUUUAUGUUAAAAGUACUAAGUUGAAAAAACGAAUAAAUUUCAAAACGUAACAAAUUAUUGCUAUUAAACACUCGACUUACGAUUCAUAUCAUUGCCAAAACGAUCGCAAUGUGAAAUAAGCACAGUUUUCUUCUUGUUCUCAAGCAGAACAGGCAUUGAAUAUUAUAAAUUAUUAAUGCACAUCAUGAGGUUGUUCAAAAUCAAGGUCAUGUGUGCUUAACCAGCUCACAAAAAACCCCUUCUGGGUGCCAUUUAAAAAUGACCACAUCGUCAGCGUGCGGGUGUUUGUGAAUGUCAUUCCGGUGACGUCAGUCAAAAGCUAAUAAAACGGCGGAUUUCCAGCUCCUAAACAGGUGCUGAUAUUCUCAUUGGCAUCUUCAAGCUCACUCAACUGCAAAAAAAAAUCAUAGAGGCACCACACUAUCUAUUCACAUUGCAUUUCGACCGAUAUUGCACGUAGGUGCCCUUGCUACAUCAACAUGUUUCAGAGGUUGCACAUUCCAGCUGACGUCGUCGGAGGAUCAAUUGAUUCUACGCUCUGUAGCACACGCGUGACUUGUAAUUGAAUUAUAGUCCAUCUGAUAACAACUCCACACAAAACACCAACCAUCCAGGGUUACGAACUUUGAUCGAAUUCCAGCUGCAACACACAUCGGUGGAAACCAACAAGAACAAACGAAUAGAAAGUCCACAUCGACGUCCCGAAGUCAAUUCGCUUUCUUCACUUAACGAAAAGCCACCGAAAGUCACACGUUCACCGUUCGUUUGCUGAAGAUCGGAAGAAA